Molecule: long non-coding RNA, 226 nt
Organism: Juglans microcarpa x Juglans regia
Lineage: Eukaryota; Viridiplantae; Streptophyta; Magnoliopsida; Fagales; Juglandaceae
Exons: 2
Source: RefSeq, a predicted model, not a curated record
CAUCCCGCAAUAGCCAAUUCUAUAGAUGUGUAGAGCAUAGAAGUUUUACAGAAUCCAACUUAUAAAGAAUGUGCAUGAUCUCUCUCAAUCAGAUCACUUGAAGUUGCUGCUUGUUGGAAUUAUUUUGUAAUUCAUAUCUUAUAGUUGUGUAUUUUGCAAUGUAAUGUAAUGUGUAAAUAACAAAAUAGUGUAAUAUGUAGCGGAUUGCAUGCAUUUUAGUUUUUCA